CAAUAGCGUAUAUUAAAGUUGUUGCAGUUAAAAAGCUCGUAGUUGGAUUUGUGGCGUACGGUGUGUUCCGGGCACUUGUUGUCUGAGUAACCUGCUGUUGCCAUCCUUGGGUGGAACCUGUGUGGCAUUAGGUUGUCGUGCAGGGGAUGCCCAUCAUUUACUGUGAAAAAAUUAGAGUGUUCAAAGCAGGCUUAUGCCGUUGAAUAUAUUAGCAAGGAAUAAUGAGAUAGGACUUUUUUGCUAUUUUGUUGGUUUGCGCAAAGAGGUAAUGAUUAAUAGGGACAGUUGGGGGUAUUCGUAUUCCAUUGUCAGAGGUGAAAUUCUUGGAUUUUUGGAAGACGAACUACUGCGAAAGCAUUUACCAAGGAUGUUUUCAUUAA
Molecule: ribosomal RNA, 380 nt
Filed under: uncultured eukaryote
Lineage: Eukaryota
Description: partial 18S ribosomal RNA
Rfam family: Eukaryotic small subunit ribosomal RNA
Source: RNAcentral